Non-coding RNA from Daldinia sp. FL1419, 105 nucleotides. The record is from the annotation of a GenBank genome assembly. Lineage: Eukaryota; Fungi; Ascomycota; Sordariomycetes; Xylariales; Hypoxylaceae.
GCUUUGGUGGCUCAGUUGGUCAGAGCGUUGGUCUCAUAGAAAUAUGACUCAAUUCACCAGAAUUGGGAUAUCCAAAGGUCGUGAGUUCGAGCCUCACCCAGAGCA